Molecule: ribosomal RNA, 115 nt
Filed under: Neogale vison (American mink)
Lineage: Eukaryota; Metazoa; Chordata; Mammalia; Carnivora; Mustelidae
Source: RNAcentral
CACUACGGCCAUACCACCCUGAACGCCCCCGAUCUCGUCUGAUCUCGGAAGCUAAGCAGGGUCGGGCCUGGUUAGUACUUGGAUGGGAGAAUUCACAAUCAUCCUGUCAUAAUCA